Molecule: transfer RNA, 75 nt
Filed under: Schismatogobius saurii (ninja goby)
Lineage: Eukaryota; Metazoa; Chordata; Actinopteri; Gobiiformes; Gobiidae
Description: tRNA-Leu
Rfam family: tRNA
About the family: Transfer RNA (tRNA) molecules are approximately 80 nucleotides in length. Their secondary structure includes four short double-helical elements and three loops (D, anti-codon, and T loops).
Source: RNAcentral
GUUGGAGUGGCAGAGCCCGGACAAUUGCAAAAGGUCUAAGCCCUUUAAACAAAGGUUCAAAUCCUUUCUUCAACC